Molecule: ribosomal RNA, 1349 nt
Filed under: metagenome
Description: bacterial LSU rRNA
Rfam family: Bacterial large subunit ribosomal RNA
Source: RNAcentral
UGAGUGCGAGCUGCUACGGCAGCGAAGUUGGUGACGUCAAGCUUCCAAGAAAAGCCCUAUACCCGUUAAGGCAUCAUGGCCUGUACCCGAAACCGACACAGGUGGGGUGGUAGAGAAUACCGAGGGGCGCGAGGUAACUCUCUCUAAGGAACUCGGCAAAAUGGCCCCGUAACUUCGGGAGAAGGGGUGCCACCGCAAGGUGGUCGCAGUGAAGAGGCCCAGGCGACUGUUUACCAAAAACACAGGUCUCCGCUAAGUCGCAAGACGAUGUAUGGGGGCUGACGCCUGCCCAGUGCCGGAAGGUUAGGGAAGCUGGUCAGCGCAAGCGAAGCUGGCGACUGAAGCCCCGGUGAACGGCGGCCGUAACAAUAACGGUCCUAAGGUAGCGAAAUUCCUUGUCGGGUAAGUUCCGACCCGCACGAAAGGCGUAACGAUCUGGGCGCUGUCUCGGAGAGAGGCUCGGCGAAAUAGAAUUGUCUGUGAAGAUGCGGACUACGUGCACCCGGACAGAAAGACCCUAUGAAGCUUUACUGUAGCUUGGUAUUGUGCCCGGGCUCUGAAUGCGCAGGAUAGGUGGGAGGCUUUGAUCAUCGGCUUGCGGGUCGAUGUGAGCCAACGGUGAGAUACCACUCUUUCAGAGCUAGGGUUCUAACAGUCACCCGUUAUCCGGGGACUGGACAGUAUCAGGUGGGCAGUUUGACUGGGGCGGUCGCCUCCUAAAAGGUAACGGAGGCGCGCAAAGGUCUGCUCAGGCUGGUUGGAAAUCAGCCGACGAGUGUAAAAGCAGAAGCAGGCUUGACUGUGAGACCUACAAGUCGAACAGGGAGGAAACUCGGCUUUAGUGAUCCGACGGUUCUGCGUGGAAGGGCCGUCGCUCAACGGAUAAAAGUUACUCUAAGGAUAACAGGCUGAUCUCCCCCAAGAGUUCACAUCGACGGGGAGGUUUGGCACCUCGAUGUCGGCUCAUCGCAACCUGGGGCUGAAGUCGGUCCCAAGGGUUGGGCUGUUCGCCCAUUAAAGCGGUACGCGAGCUGGGUUCAGAACGUCGUGAGACAGUUCGGUCCAUAUCCGGUGCAUGCGCAGGAAUAUUGAGAGGAGUUCUCCCUAGUACGAGAGGACCGGGAGGAACGCACCUCUGGUGUACCAGUUAUCGUGCCAACGGUAAACGCUGGGUAGCCAUGUGCGGAGAGGAUAACCGCUGAAAGCAUCUAAGUGGGAAGCCCACCUCAAGAUGAGUAUUCCCAUGGCGUUAGCCAGUAAGGUCACGGGAAGAACACCCGUUGAUAGGCUCUAUGUGGAAGCGCAGUAAUGCGUGAAACAGAGGAGUACUAAUAGACCGAGGGCUUGAC